Long non-coding RNA from Trichoplusia ni (cabbage looper), 1042 nucleotides. RefSeq lists it as uncharacterized. NCBI's taxonomy places the organism in Eukaryota, Metazoa, Arthropoda, Insecta, Lepidoptera, Noctuidae. The transcript is spliced from 2 exons. The record is from RefSeq and is a predicted model, not a curated record.
GCCCCAUGCGACGCUGCAACAGACGCGGCGGGGGUGGGGAAAUCAAUACACGCAGACGACUGCAACAAUAUAAUAUAGCUAUGUAUAUUAGGAAACAUUUCCACAUUAACGAAGGGUGUCUCGAUCUAUCGCGCCGGGUUGAAAUAUUUUAUUAUGAAAUGAUUCAUCCGCCAGUGAAACGAAGCUGGCUUCAGAACUUACAACUUUCAAAUAUUUUAAGUUAUCAGACUACUCGUCUCAGUUAAGUGGAAUAUAUUAUUUUUAAAUAUAUCGUCACACAAAAAGCGUUAGAUAUUUAAUCAGUGUCUACGAUUUUAGUAAUUAGUAUCGGGCUUGCCACCACGUGUCAACACGAUGCGUCACAGCAUAAUCGUGGAUCUGGUUUACCAAAUCCAACCUACGCAUCUAUACAAUAUUUAAUAACAAACUUUGUUUUUGCGUCGUCUACUAGCAACCCAUGAAUGAGUCUCAAUAAGCUAUUUAAGUCUGCCAAGAGCAGACAACCCAGUUGCCUUUGAAUUAAUUGAAAGAUAGCAGUACCGUGCACUCACUGUAACAUCCUACCAACUAGAAUGAGAUGAGAUAUCUACCAUCUUAUCCGUCAGUUAAUGUUAGGCGUUUGCGGCAAUUAGCGCAAAACAGCUGAAUCAUAGAGAAAGUCCGAGCUGAAGAGAAAUUUCAGCAUUUUAAAGAAGUAUAAUUGUGACCCCGAGCGAGUGUGUUGUGCGCGGCUACGGCGGUACGUGAGUGUUUUCGUGUACCGUUAGCUUUAGAUAAAGUGUAGUGCCAUUACAAUCGUUAUCAAGGCAUAUCGUUAUCACCAGAUUGUGGAUAGAGCCGAGUGCGUUACCAUAUAUGGUGACAAAAAUUGAGGCAGCAUCAGGCAGCUUGUGAUUGGCGGAAAAUAAAUAGUUGCCGAUAGUGUGUGAACUCUGAUAAGGCGCGUUUUAUAUAGUUUAUCCUCAAGAGCCGGUUCUCAUUUAGUAAGGUGUGCUUGACCGAAGCAGCACGAGUCGUACCUAGUCAUUAACUUAAUUUAACA